RNAcentral lists this ribosomal RNA (1317 nucleotides) under uncultured Alphaproteobacteria bacterium. RNAcentral describes it as "bacterial SSU rRNA". It matches the Rfam family "Bacterial small subunit ribosomal RNA", at positions 27 to 1391 of the family's 1533-position model. The record is from RNAcentral. Lineage: Bacteria; Pseudomonadati; Pseudomonadota; Alphaproteobacteria.
GAACGUACGCUGGCGGCACGCCUAACACAUGCAAGUCGAACGAAGUAGCAAUACUUAGUGGCAGACGGGUGAGUAACAUGUAGGUAUCUGCCCUUUGGCCUGGAAUAACACGAGGAAACUUGUGCUAAUACCGGAUAAGUCUUUACAGAGAAAGCUUUAUGCACCAUUGGAUGAGCCUGCACUUGAUUAGUUUGUUGGUGGGGUAAUGGCCUACCAAGACUGUGAUCAAUAGCUGAUUUGAGAGGAUGAUCAGCCACAUUGGGACUGAGACACGGCCCAAACUCCUACGGGAGGCAGCAGUGGGGAAUCUUGCACAAUGGAGGAAACUCUGAUGCAGCGAUGCCGCGUGAGUGAAGAAGGCCUUUGGGUUGUAAAGCUCUUUCGUCGGGGAAGAAAAUGACUGUACCCGAAUAAGAAGGUCCGGCUAACUUCGUGCCAGCAGCCGCGGUAAUACGAAGGGACCUAGCGUAGUUCGGAAUUACUGGGCUUAAAGAGUUCGUAGGUGGUUGAAAAAGUUAGUGGUGAAAUCCCAGAGCUUAACUCUGGAACUGCCAUUAAAACUUUUCAGCUAGAGUAUGAUAGAGGAAAGCAGAAUUUCUAGUGUAGAGGUGAAAUUCGUAGAUAUUAGAAAGAAUACCAAUUGCGAAGGCAGCUUUCUGGAUCAUUACUGACACUGAGGAACGAAAGCAUGGGUAGCGAAGAGGAUUAGAUACCCUCGUAGUCCAUGCCGUAAACGAUGUGUGUUAGACGUUGGAAAUUUAUUUUCAGUGUCGCAGCGAAAGCGAUAAACACACCGCCUGGGGAGUACGACCGCAAGGUUAAAACUCAAAUGAAUUGACGGGGACCCGCACAAGUAGUGGAGCAUGUGGUUUAAUUCGAAGAUACGCGCAGAACCUUACCAACACUUGACAUGUUCGUCGCGACUCUAAGAGAUUAGAGUUUUCGGUUCGGCCGGACGAAACACAGGUGCUGCAUGGCUGUCGUCAGCUCGUGUCGUGAGAUGUUGGGUUAAGUCCCGCAACGAGCGCAACCCUCACUUUUAGUUGCCAUCAUUAAGUUGGGCACUCUGAAAGAACUGCCAGUGAUAAGCUGGAGGAAGGUGGGGAUGACGUCAAGUCCUCAUGGCCCUUACGUGUUGGGCUACACACGUGCUACAAUGGUAUCUACAACAGGAAGCAAGACUGCGAAGUUAAGCAAAUCCCUAAAAGAUACCUCAGUUCGGAUUGCACUCUGCAACUCGAGUGCAUGAAGCUGGAAUUACUAGUAAUCGUGGAUCAGCGUGCCACGGUGAAUGCGUUCCCGGGUCUUGUACACACC